CUCCGUGCGCACCCCAGAGUUCGAACCUUAAGGGUUUUGUCGGAAGCCCAUAUCCGACAUUUGGCGCGCCAGGUAGGGGUGCGCCGGAAUCUUUCUUCCGCCACCCCGCGUUCGAUCGUCCAUCGCAUCCAUGGCUGACGCUCGUCGAGCUCGUGCCGAGCGUCGGGCUGCUCUUGCCGCCUGCGUCGCCCAGACGGCUCCCGUCGGUGGGCCUCCCCGUCAUUCUCCGUCACCUGCCGUCAACGCCACCACCGGCCCGGCGGGGAACGAGCAGCAGGCAUCAUCGCUGCAUCCCUCGGUGCGGCGGGAAGGCCGCACCGCCACUCCGUCGCUGACUCCAGUCGGUUCGUAGUCUCACGCCCGUCGCGCUCCCGCGGACGCGCACGCCGCGUUGCUCCUGGCACGUGAACUCCUGCACUACCGCCCCAUCGACGACCUCUACGCGGAGUGGAUCGCCCACAUCACCGAGCUCGUCAGCGCCGCUGGGGUCUCUCCUGCGCUGUCCCUCUCGCUGCCUCGCCCUCCGUCGUACGCGGGCGAUGCAGCUCAGGGGGCGCCUCCGCCACCUCCUCCCCAAGAAGGUGCCCUGGCCCCAAGGCACACGGCCCCUGGACGAGACCCACCGCGUCCGGCGCCCGUGCGACAAGAAAGGAGCUGCCAAGAAAUCCCUCGCCCCCAAGAAGGCAGUCGCGUGCUGCCUGCUCCAGAGCGCCAAGACCGCAUCCCUGCGCCAGCACGUCAAGACCUCGCGCUGCCCCCAGCAGCGGCGCGCGGGAACCACCAAGAGCUAGCCCAGCUUCAGCAAGGGGGUCCGAUGACCAAGGCAGGUUGCCGCGCCUUCACCACCGAGCUACGUAGCGUCGUGUGGCCCAGCAAGUUCAAGCCAGACCUGCCUCCCUGCUACGACGGCACGGCCGACCCCACGGAGUUCCUGCAGCUCUACGAGCUAGGCAUCGAAGCGGCUAACGGAGAUAAGAAGGUCAUGGCGAAUUGGUUUCCCAUGGUGCUCAAAGAUGGUGCCCGCACCUGGCUCCUGAACCUGCCUCCUGGCACGAUCUCCUCUUGGGACGAGAUGCGCACCCGCUUCAUCGCCAACUUCCAAGGCACUCGCGACCGUCCAUCGGCCGUGGGUGACCUGCGCCGCAUCAAGCAGCAACCAGGAGAGACCCUGCAGAAGUACAUCCAGCACUUCAACAACGCUCUCCUCAAGAUUCCCAAGGUAACUGAGGAGGCCAUCAUCUCAGUGUUCUCUCAUGGUGUCCGUGACGUCAAGAUGAAGGAGGAGCUGGCAAUCCAUGAAGAACUGUGCACAUCUCUGGAGCUGUUCAACCUGGCGACCAAGUGCGCAAGGGCUGAGGAGGGGCGCCUCUCCCUUCUCGAGCUCCCACCUGCUGACCCUGAAGAGAAGAAAGACAAGGCCAAGGAUGUGAAGCGCAAGGGAGCAGCCGUGCUCGCAGCAGAGCCAGACACGAAGCGCGGUAGGGACCGGCCGGAAUCGUCCAAGGGCAGGCGCCGGUACUGCGUGUACCACGACCUCCACACCCACAACACCAGCGAAUGCCAAGAGCUCAGGGCCGUGCGAGAAGGACGUGUAGGUCGACGCCCCGAGCGCAAUGAUCGGGGCUACGGCCGAGGAGGAGGAAGAGGCGGAGGACGAUGGGAUGACCGAGGACCUCGCCAAGGGUGGUGAGACCAACCUCGCGAGGACCGCUGGCAGGACCAGCCUCGUGAGGAGGCUUGGAGGGAUCGGCCUCGUGAGGAUCGCCCACAGGGCAAUGAAGGCCUUCCUCCUCUGCCGCCACCACCAAGAAGGAAUGACGACCAUCACCAGGACGAGGGGGCUGGGGGCUUCCAAGAGCCACGUGCUAUCGCUUGCAUCCUGGGCGGUGCCCAGGCCCCAGCCUCUCAGCGUAUCUUCAAGCAGUUUGCUCGCGAGGUGAACGCGGCCCUCCCUAGGCUCGAGGCCACGCGCCUUCUCAAGUGGUUCGCGUGCGCCAUCAUGUUCAGCUCAGCGGAUCAGCUCAAGUGUGCGGCUACAGCCAGUGUCCUUCCAAUGCUUUGUUCCCCAGUCAUCAGCAAUGUGCAAGUUACCAGGGCCCUCAUCGACGGCGGCGCAGGACUCAACGUCUUGUCCGUCGAGACAUUCAACGACCUCCAGGUGCCUCAUGAUCAGCUUCAGCCAACCAAGCCCUUCUCAGGAGUCACCGAUGGCUCCAACACUCCGAUAGGGUAGAUUCGCCUCCCUGUCACUUUCGGACAGCGCAAGAACUACCGUACCGAGCUCAUCGACUUCGACGUUGCCCACAUCCGCCUGCCAUACAAUGCCAACCUUGGGUACCCGGCCCUGGCCAAGUUCAUGGUAGUGACUCAUCAUGGUUACAAUGUCCUCAAGAUGUCAGGAAGCGGCGGAGUCAUCACGGUCCCAUGCGAAGAGAAAGAUGCAGUGUGUUCUCUCCAACGUGCCUUCCAAGCUGCCUCAGUCGAGGACUGAGACGACAAGAGAGGGAACCUUCCCGAGGCGGUCCUCAAGAAGAAGAAGAAAUCACCCGGCCCAAGGCCUCAAGAGGUUGGCACCUCCGGAGAUGUCGCGUCAGGACCUGCGCCCAUGCAAGGGGCGCCUAGCACAUCGGAAGGCGUGCCUGGCGCCCUCCUCGGGCAAGGCUCGGGGGCUCUCUCUUGGAGGGCCUCCGACUUUGCCAAGCUCACGAGGGAGGCGCUCGGGCACCACUUGGAGGCGUGCUUCGCGGCACGUUUCCCCCAGGAAGGCAUGAGUCAAGAAGGGCCAAACCCUCAGGAAUUCAUCACCAAGGUCACUCAGGAGCUGCAGGAAUCGAGAGUCAUGUGUCAUGCGCGGCAACCGCCGCCUACCUGGCGUGGCUCCCCAUCCAGGAGAGGAUGGCGGGCUGCGCGUCCGCAUCGACUACCCAGGGCUCAGCCGAGUCGCGUCUCAGGACACUACUAGGGAAAAGCCUAGCAGCAGUGCGGGUUUUACGCCUAUCAGUAGCGCGGGCAGGAGCGCUACUGAUACGGCGCUACAACUAAAGGUUAGCAGUAGCGUCGGUUGACAAGCGCUACUGCUACAUCGACUUAGUAGUAGCGCCUUCCCCACGCAGCGCUACUGCUAAUUACUAGCAGCGCCUUUCCAAGCCCGCGCUACUACUAUUAUUCCGUAUUUUAUUUCUUUUUUGUUUCAUGUUGUAUUCAUACACCUCUAUACAAGUUUUCAUACAGCAGCAAUUUAGAGAUCGUUUUUACAUCAUAAUGAGUUAUUACAUCACUGAGUGAAAGAACCGUGGACUAGUUUCAAGUGGAUGGACAUCCACUUGAAACUAAUCCGCGGUCUUUCACGCAAUGAUAUAAUAAAUAUAAUAAUCAUCAUCAUCAUCAUCAUCAUAAUCAUAUCAUUAACAACUUAUCAUCAUAAUACAUCAUUGUCAUAUAACACCUCCUCAUGAUCAUCAUUUUCAUCGAUGAGACAUCACAUAGCAAGUUGGUCACUAGUCAUAAUCACAACUACUCCUCAUCAUCAACUCUAACACACAUUGUACCACAUAAUAAACAUAUUGUACCUCAUAGGGCCUACUACAUUCUAUUAGGACCUACUAUAUUCUCUAAGGUAAAAUAGCAAAAAACAAGAUAGCCCCUGGCUCUCCAUUAUGGAGAAUGGAGAUUAUCCUGUCUCCAAUUCUUGCCUUUCUCUUAAUGUUGCUUCCAAGAACCUCCUUACGAAUGUCCAAACAUUUUUUCCAUUCUUUGAUUAGCAUGUGUUCACCGGUUUUAGAAAUCCGAUAUGCACAGGUGAGAUCUGUAGGAUGACCUGGCAUUAUGUUCAGAACUUCAAGGGGACCAUUCUGAUACAUCAAAUGAGGCACACAAUCCAUCGAGUUUUUCUGUUGAAAAACAUAGUAAUAACUUCGUAGUUAGCAAUGAUGUACUAGUUUUAGAAGUAUGCAAAAGAUGCACGGAUGUCGUAAUAGUAAAAAAUCUUACCAGGGUAUCUCCAUAGAAGUUACCGUGGUUCAACACGUGCACUAGUGGCACGUAUUCACCAUAAUUUGGAGGAGUUCGAUAAUAGGUAUUGUAAUUCUCAAAGUAAGUACAAAAUGCGAUCAGAUGAUUUUUCUCCUUAUAAGUUAAUUCGGAGCCAUCGGUGUAGUGGGUUCUGUCUACCAUGUUCCGCACAUUGUUUGAACAAUCAAAAUAAGCUGUCAAUGGGAAUAAGCUGUCAACUAUUUUGAAAUAAAUAAUAUAAAUUAGUUAAUAACUAUGUUUGAGGAACUCACAUAGCGGUAGAAUCGGAAGCGUAUCAACAAGGACCCAAAUGUCCAUAUUGUUUUGCUCGAUGUCAGGAUCACCAAGAUCCAUGGUGACAAUCAUACCCUCAUAAAAACCAUACAUUUUGCAAAGUGCUUCCCAAUUUUGGCAACCAAAAUGGGUUACGCUCUGAGAAUUGUACAGAUUUACUUCAAAAUCCAAAUCAUGAUGGGUCCUUAGGUGUAUUUUCUUUUAUUCAAAGUUUUCAUGUUCUUCGAAACCCAUCCUCUCCAAGACAUAGCAUCUUGCAUGGCAUGGGAUAAGGUAGUCGAAUUGUAAAAGAUGAAAAUUAGACAUUGAAAUAGUUGAAUUCGUGCUUAAUUACGAAAAAAACACUUGUCGUUGUUGCGUACCAUUUCAACGUUGAAGGUCUCCUCGAGCUUAAUGUUGAAGCGCCGAUCUUCGUCCAGCUCAAGGAACCUGUCGCACAGACCUCGAUCGUCGCGGCACCAGCUGCACUCCCCUGGGAGACUUUCGUCGUCCGAGUACGACAUUUCCUACGUUCAUAAUUCAAAGAUUAAACUUGUACAAUUAAAUAUAUGUACUAAAAAACCUAAAUUAGAUCAUUAUUUUUCGAGAAAAUCCAGGCCACUCGAUAUUUCCUACAUAUUCUAGCACAAGUCAUUCCAGAAUUCACGGAAAAAUCCGGCAUGACCUUUGCUAAAAAAGGACAUAUCGAGCGCCUGAAAUUUGCCGGAACAGAAAUUAAUCAACACUCUGGCAAAACAUAGGCCACUCGGAGGUGUAACCUGAACAUGACCGGCCACUUGGGCAACCACAUAUCCUAUUUGAGCAACACGGGAUAUACAUGUUUUUAUCUCCAUCAUAUAUAUUAUCUUAUAGGACUCAUAUUGACAUGGAGAUUUGAUUGGUCUCACCUCGAGGUCGGAGGGGGUCGGUGACGGGGACGACGGCGGGGAUGAUGGAGGGGCUCCUUGAUUUCUGCAAAAGUGAAAACCCUAUAUAAGUUAUCACUAAUACAUCCCGAAUAAUUGCUUAAACUAGUUCUAUUAAUUCAACUAGUUCUUACUAAAUAUAAAAUUACUAUAAAUAGAAAAAAACUAGUUCUUUCUAAAAAUAAAGUAGUUCAACUAGUUAUAUUAAUUUUCUUACUAAAAAUAUAUUAGUCCUAUUAAUUCAACUAGUUCAACUAGUUUAUUAAUUUUCUUACUAAACUAGUUCAACUAAAACUAAACUAGUUCAACUAGUUUAUUAAUUUACUUACUAAUUAUUGUAAACACUUACUAAAACAGUAAACAAAACUACAUUACACAAUAGUAAAAAACAUCUACUAUUAACCAUACUGCCCUAGUUAACUAGUACCAUCACUACUACUAAUUNNNNNNNNNNNNNNNNNNNNNNNNNNNNNNNNNNNNNNNNNNNNNNNNNNNNNNNNNNNNNNNNNNNNNNNNNNNNNNNNNNNNNNNNNNNNNNNNNNNNNNNNNNNNNNNNNNNNNNNNNNNNNNNNNNNNNNNNNNNNNNNNNNNNNNNNNNNNNNNNNNNNNNNNNNNNNNNNNNNNNNNNNNNNNNNNNNNNNNNNNNNNNNNNNNNNNNNNNNNNNNNNNNNNNNNNNNNNNNNNNNNNNNNNNNNNNNNNNNNNNNNNNNNNNNNNNNNNNNNNNNNNNNNNNNNNNNNNNNNNNNNNNNNNNNNNNNNNNNNNNNNNNNNNNNNNNNNUCGGCGACGGAGAGGUAGGGGCGGCGAGGGCGGGCUCGGGCGGCGGCGGUGAGGUCGAGGGCGGCGACGGUGAGGUCGAGAGCGGUGGCGGGCAGCGGCGGUGAGGUUGAGGGCGGCCUCGGGCGGCGGCGGUGAGGGCAGGCUCGGGCUCGGGCGGCGGCGACAGAGGUAGGGGAACAGGGGGGGGAGGAGGAUUUAGCAAAAUUUUGAGCCCGGGGUGGUUAAGUCGAACUAGCAGUAGCGCACUUUAAGAAACGCGCUAUAACUAAUGUAGCUACAGCGCGUUUUACGGAAACACGCUACUGCUAAGUCUAAGCACGCAUCAAAAAUAUACAUUGGUCAUCAUUGAUCUUUUUGUGUAGAAUCUAAAUAGUCAACAUGAAUCCUCACAGUACCCGUAUAGGCACUGGUGAAGAUUCGUAUUGCAGCCACAAAUCCUACACAUAUAGUUCAAUGAAGACCAAGUGCUCGAGACAGUUUGAGAAGUAACAUAUUUAAGGUGGUAAACACCUUGUUCGCUUAGCAGUAUGAGACUAAACUUAAUUAGGUGCAAUACUUAGCAGCAGCGUGUUUUUCAGAAAAACGCUGCUACUAAGUACUAUAGCAGCAGCGCGUCCCUGGAAGGGCACUACUACUAUAUCUAGCCUGGAGGCAACGCCGUGGCAAUUAUAGUAGUAGCGCUCGUUGCACAUAGAGCGCUACUGCUAUGCUGGUAUUGGUAGCACGGUUUCGCCAAGAUCGCUACUGCUAGUUAGCAGUACCGUCUGUUUUUAAACCGCGCUGCUGCUAAAAUUCUGUGUAUAAGGUUUUCCCUAGUAGUGGGAGCGCUUCUGGCCUUCACGCGUGGGAUGCUGCGAGGGUCCGCCUCACAGCUACGUUCGCAUGCCUUUCAAAAAUGCCGAAUGCGGCUGCGGCCCACCAGCGCCUGAUGCGGAGCAUUCUGGAAGCUCAGGAGGCCAGGCAUCACGCAGUCCUGGCGGAGAUGGAGGCGGUCCUCAGGGAACCGCCUGGGCACCAGAGCCUCUCGAGUCUCAGGGCUCCAGUGGCUCGUAAGGAUCAGCUUCUUCACCACGCAUCGCCAGCUACCCCAACACCCGCUCUGCAAUGACACCAGGUGACAUCUUUCGAGUUUCAUUUCAGCUGGGAGCGCCCUCAGGGCUGCAUUAUUGCCAGGUCGCGUGGGUCCGUCCCUGUGGCGUGUAUCCGUUUUGCUUAUGUCUUAAGUUCACCUUGCCGGGGGCGCCCCUCGGGCUGCAUCAUCCCCAAGAUGCUCGGGCCUGACCCAGCGGCAUGUACCUUUCCUGCAUCUAUCUAAGCUGAUUUGCUUUUCGUGCUUAACCUGCUGCGAUCAUCUCCUGCCGCCCACCACGGGCCUCAAUGCAAAUCGCUUGCGCGUUAAAAGGGGGGCUCCUGAGCAUCGCAACUCAGGAGCUCUUACUUGCUCUCCAGCCCUCACCCCCUGGCCUUGUCCAUGGCAUCGCGACCUGGCAUACCAGCGACGGCUGAGCUCGCUCGAGGGCGGGGACCUGAGGACGUAGAGCAUUUGCAUCUAACCACCUUGCAGGGACAGACAGCCGUCCGCGGCUCAAGACCAGGCGCAACCCGCCUUGAGGUAGGGCCUCGUGAGUCCCGCGCUGGCUCACGGGUGCCCAGAUACACCUCGCACACAGCCGUCUGCGGCUCAAGACCAGGCGCAACCCGCCUUGAGGUAGGGCCUCGUGAGUCCCGCGCUGGCUCACGAGUGCCCAGAUACACCUCGUGCCCUACCGUGCAGGCCACGUGUCAGGGCGGGGCUGUACACGCCCUGGGGGCACCUCCCGGAGGGGGCCCCCUCCCACGCACCAGUGGAAGCACCAUGCUCCGCGCUGGCUGACGACACUGCCCAGGAGCGGCUAUGCCUGUACACAUACGGAAGCGCUAUGCUCCGCGCUAGUGAUAAACAACUAAGGGCAGCUCACGGCUGUACCAACCUCAGGGAGCCCAGAGCUCAACGUCCGGCCUCAUCGCAACGCCUCCCCUCGGGAGCACCGCGCGAGGGGGCUGGACAUGGGGGUCACGCCCGAGCGCACGCCACCCAUCCAGGUCCCUUAGACCUGGUCGUCGCGUGCCUCCCCCGAGCGGAACCAAGGUAUGAAAACCGUUUGAGCGUCAAGGGGGACUCCUGAGCAUCGCGACUCAGGAGCCUAACUGGUCACGUAGCCCCUCACUCCUUGGUCCCGUCCUGGUUUCCGAUCGGGGCUAACGGCGGUUGAGGUAUGUGCGGGGCCGGGCCCUGCCGACGUGGAACGACAGAUCUACUCCUACACCCCCUCCCUAUUUGCCGUUUGAGCGUCAAGGGGGACUCCUGAGCAUCGCGACUCAGGAGCCUAACUUGCCACGUAGCCCCUCACUCCUUGGUUCCGUCCUGGUUUCCGGUCAGGGCUAAUGGCGGCUGAGGCAUGCGCGGGGCCGGGCCCUGCCGACGUAAAACACAAAGCAAAUAGGAAGGAAACCGCAAAAUUUCGCAAAUUCAGAAGCAAAUAUUACAUGCCAUGAAAUGUUCUCAUGAUACCAAACCCAAGUCUAAACGCCUCCACGAGGCACAUUGCAUAUCACAGGAAUUGAAACAGGAAAGAAGCCGCGAGGAGAUCACCCCUGAGCAGCGCCGUCGCUCACGGUGGGGUCAUGCUUGUUAGCCCCACCUCCCGAGGCCGCGGAUCCAGCGGUACCUGCCUUGGGCACGGUGGUGAAGGCGCGGAACUUCGCUAGCAAGGCUUCCGCACGACCCUUCACGGCUUCAGCGGCAGCGGCGGAGUGUGCGGCGUCCACAGGCUCCAGCAGGUGUCAAGGUUGGCGUCGGGGUUGCGAAGGUAGACGUGGGUGAGGAUCCGCGUCAGCGCCGCGGAGGAAAGGACGCGAGCUUCAACCUCGGCCAUUGGGCCGAUGCCAUCCACGACCUCCUCAAGCGCCUCAACCAGGAAGGGAAGCAGCUUGGUAGGGCCGUCGGUGGGCCUGGCUAGCGGCUUAUCCAGACCAUCGUCGUAGAGUGACUGCAGCGCCUUGCAGGAUCUCACCUCGUAACCCUCGAAGGCCGCGCGGUCCUCAGCCAAGACCUUCGCCUGGGCGUCCAGCUCAGUCCUCUCCGCCUUUAGUUUCUGCUCCAGAAUCUUCAGCCGGCUGCGAUCGGCGGCCAGCUCGGCAUCGCGGUCCCCGAUGGCGGCCUCCCCGAGCGUUCAUCUCUUCCUCCUUCGCCUAGCGGUCGCGAACCUCCAUGGCGAGCUCAUCGCGCAAGCCUUACAGCUCGUCCUCCAGCGCCUUGCAGCGGCCUCGGGCAGUUGAAGCAUCGUUCAACGCCACGUCGCGAGCGGCUACGGCCUGGGAGGUGACCUGCUUCUCCUCCUUGGAAGCUGUCACAGCCUGACUCAGCGCCGCUCGGACGGAGGCGUCAGAGCGAACCCAGCCAGAGACCAGCUGUGACACCCAAAAUUUUAUUUGGCCUUUUCAAAAAAUUUAUUUGACUUGAGGGAGGUGAUUUAAAUUUUUCCUUCAAAAGAACCCUCCCUUUCAAAAUGUUUUUAUGGAAAGAGUUUUAUUUGGUUUCACCCAAGACUUGAUUUUGGUCUUGGAGGUUCUUGCUUUUUAUUUUGGACUCAAGCCAAAUUGCCUUUCACUUGGGAAAAAUGUCUUUUGAAAAUUUCUUUGAAAAUGCUCCAUAGCUUUUGGAAUAAUCCUUUACCACUUUCAACAAAUCUCUCAUGCCAUGACCUUAGUGCAAAUCCACUCUCCUAAACCUUCCCUCAUCUUUGGAUCAUGAUUUGCAUCAAAUCCAGCAAGUUGAACCUCCCCAUAUAUUUAUUUUCCAUUUAAAUCUUAUCAAAACAAUUUCUGCCUUCUAUUCUAGCCCUUGGAGAUUUACAAAGGAGCUACCAUUUAUGUUUUGAUUUUUGCCCCCAAACCAAUUCCCCUUCCUAGUCCUUGAGCCCACAACCAAGAUCCAUGAAGAUCCACUGGUAUUCAGUUCAAAUUUUUCAAACUAGACUUGCUGCAAGUUUGGACCAGAUUUGCCAAAUUUGAUGAAAUUCAUUUAAAUUCUUCUCCUAAAAAUCUGAGAAAAAUCAGGCAACCCCUGGGUGCAUUGAGAGGUCACCUCACCAAGUCCCAGCCCCAGGAAAAAAUUUCUCCUUGCCAAAUCAUUCUGUCGAACACCUGCAGAGCAUUGUCAAAAUCAGGUUCAGUCAAAUUCAGAGAACAGUUCAGUGUUGCUGUCGUUUUCUUCAGUGUUCGAUCUCAAUCUCGCCAGUGCCCCGGUGUCGCCUUGCUCCACGUCCCCUCCCCCUUGUUCCUGCGCCGCACGAUCCCCUGGAACCUUGCGGACGUCGGCGACGAGCAGGAGGAGGUGCGCCGCCCCGUGACCGACGGCAGCGGCGGCUUUGCGGCUGCCAGAGAGGGGCGCAGCGUAGACGGCGCCACCCAGCGCCGCCCAAGCCACUGGAGGCCGCCGCGUGGCCACCCACUCCCCAGUGCGCUCUGCCACCCUCGUCGUGAACCGCUGGGCGCGGAGCGCGCUCUCUGCCACCGUCGUGCCCGUGCGGCCACCCCACCGUGGACCGGCGCUAUUACGCCAAGACCGACCGGGAUUAGCAGGGGAACGGGACCAGUAACUCCCACUGAUGCUGCCUGGCCACCUAAACCCCCUGCCAAUCCACUGCCUCGCCGUAAUUGCUCGCCGGAGAUUCUCCGUUCACGGCCACCCCCUCGAUCCGCCUAUAAAUAGAGGCCCCGAGCUUCAACUCGAACCCACACCACCUCUGCACUCCACCUAGACCACACCAAGCCACUGGAAGAGCCCCGAGGGAGCUUUCUUCCCCGACUCCGGCCGCCGCGACCCGCCACGGGAUCCAGCUCGAUUCACUCCCGUGCGUGCACCUCUGCCUCCCAUCUAUUGCCAGUAGCUCUCUAGUGCAUCCCUCCUUCUGACCCGCGCUUCAAUUCGAAGUUUGCAGCACCCACCGGAGUUCUCCACCAUCACAAGUGUCGCCGUCGACGUGGUGCUCUCCGACGCUCGAGUCCACCACCCACCGACGCGGAAGGACACGCUGAAGCUCUUGGUACACUCCGAUCUCCCUGUCUCGCCGUGGUUCGACGCCGGCGACCACCGCAGUCUUCGGGCGCCGGUGAACUUUUUAAACCUGACAUGUGGACCCCCCCUGUCAGCCUCUAUUCUCUUCUCCCUCGAAACGUUUUCUGUUGGCGCCUUCGGGCAAAUACGUUUUCUCUUUGAGCUGGCGCAUUUCUUUCCGAAGCGUUUUCUGUUUUCUCAGUUAAGCCCCUGGAACUUCUCUGUUUCAUUACAGAUAAGUCCCUCGACAGAAACCCUUAUAACUUUUUAAUAAAAAGUGAUUUUUGAGUGAUUCUUUUUCUGACAUUCUUAUAAUUUUGUCUAGUUUUUUAUGGGAUUUAUUUGGAAAUUUUUUGGAACAACUUUUAUGCACGCGUUGGUUUUCACGUUAGUAUGCUUCUUCGCUAUACCGUAGGUUCCGGAAGAGGUGACGGAGCCGCGAACUUCGCCGAGCUAGACUCCGACUUCUCCGAACCAGGAAAGCAUGUUUGAACCUUUGAUAUGAUAGGUGUUUCGCAUGUUUGCGUGAAAGGUUGUGCGUGGCAUAUGAGUAUCGGUGAGUAUCUCGUUGCUUGUGAGGCAACUACCCGUGUGUUCCAAAGUUGCGAUGAUCUCUGAUGAGAGAUGGCCUAAUCAUGUGGUGACAUGAAGGGCAGCAAGGUGGUACUGUUGUAGCAUGCCAGCCUUGCGUCAUCCGACAAUUCCCGACGUUAACGUGGACGGAGUCACGUUAUCGUUCUUCCCCCUUCCGUGCUACCACAUGUUUUCUGCCAGAAUGCGGUUUAGUAAGUUGGUAACCUCUUUCCGUGUACACACCAAACAGAGGGGCCGGGAUGAUGGUUCCAUGGCCCUGGAUUAAAGCCAGUCAUCCGGUCAGGGGGCAUGGGUGUUUCCGGUUGGGACCGAGAGGGGGGGCACCCCUUAGAGCGCGCGUAUAGAAAUUUGAUCCCAUGCUACGCGAGGUUGUAGCCUCCCCGUCUCAAGGUUUUUCUUGAACGUUGCCGAGGGUGAUUCCUGGCUUCGGAAUGUUGAAUGGGUGUGUACUGGUUAGAUGUGUUUCUUCCAAAACACCGUAGACGGAACUAGUCCCCGUGACUACUGAAAUCCGUUGGCUGUGGUUGAAGUACAAACUCUGCAGAGUCAAAUCCUUCCGAGUCAUCAUAUCCAUGGUCAAGUAUCGUGAUCAGCGUAUCCAUGUCUAUGUCAUAACCUCGUAGUAUAUUCUUCGUUCCGGUAAGCAAGCUUGAGUAGUAGACUUGGCUGAACAUUAUUCCUGUGGAUGGACUAACCCUGUUGUUUACCUCAUGUCUGCUUGUUCUCUUGAUAUGAUUUAUAAUUCAUGAACUACUAAGUGUUGAAUAUAAGCCCUUUAUGUGAUGUUGCUCAGACGUCCGACUGUGGCAUGUUUGUCUCUUACUUUCAAUAUAAGCCCUUUACGUGAUGUCGCUCAGACGUCCGACUGUGGCACGCACUGCCUUUAUUUUUCUGUUAUAAGCCCUUUAUGUGGUGUCGCCUCGACGCCCGACUGCGGCAUUAUUAUUCUUGCAGUUUCCUCUCGAGGAGUCAUUCAGACCCUCAUUUUGCACCGGUAUUAUUAUUCUUGCAGUUUCCUCUCGAGGAGUCAUUCAGACCCUCGUUUGGCACCCAGUAUUUAUUUUGGGAUUUCGGGAGGACUACCGCCCGACUUCUCUGUUAUUUCCCUAUGCAUUAUUAUCUCUAUGUCUGAACGCACUUGUUAAUCUAUUCAUAUGCUUCAUGUUUACAUUUGUUAUAUCUUAUGUCUGAACUCUCUUGCGAGUACUUUCAUAGUACUCUCCUGGCUUGUUGAUUUGGCCAGAUGUUGAUGAAGGCGAUCUCAUGGAUGAAGAGUUUGAUAGUGUGUCCGACGCCUAGAGGAGUCCCAGUCAGUCCCGUGCGAUCCUGGAUAUUGGUCACUUGUAUUAUAUACGCUUCCGCCACCCGCAAUAAGUCUCCUCGAGCCUCACUCCGACGCUCGAGGAGCUAUAGUUUUCAGGAGUCAUAUCACCCACUUUGCGGUGAUAUUUCCACCACCGUUGUUAUCGUGAGUUAGUAGUCUUGCCACCCUAUCCGCCGUUAUGUUUUAUCGGCGUUCAUGUAAUAAAUUGUUGAGCAGUCUCCGCUCAACCUUGUAUUAUAUUCAGUACUCCUGGUAUUUUUCUUCUGUGACCAAGAUAUUGUCUACCAGUGAGAAGGAAUUCUUCUUUACUGGUCCGUAAACGGGAUUGGUCUCUCAAUAAAUAUUUUAUUGGAAAACCGGUCGUGACAAGCUUGGUAUCAGAGCCAGGCUGACUGUAGGAAGCCACAAGGUGCGAUCGCUAAUCGGUUAUUAGCGUCUUUUGUGCUUUUCAGCAUUUUGCAAUUGUAGCUAUUUUCUGUUCGUCAUCAUAAAUUUAUGACAUGACUACUCAGAAUUUUUGCCUACUUUUGUAGAUGGCUGGCAGCAACUGCGAGACUCGAGUGUUCACGAACGUGCCGGAGGGGUUUGUCAAACUCCUCGUCUCCAUCACUAAGCUCGUGAUCGGGCCAGCGACUCGUCCGGAGUUCACGCUUUAUCAGCACAAGCUCAGCGACGACGUGUCUAUGCACCAAGCCGUGGUGCAAUUCAAGGGAGGACGUUCUGCAUCUCGCCACUUCCGUUUUGUGGGAAGGGCCAUGCCUACGGAGAGGCAUACCAUGCAGAUGGCUCCCCGUGAGGCGAUAGCUCGCCUUCGGGACAUUCUUCCUACGAUGAAGACUCGUCGCUACCGCUACCUCCCAUGCCAUGUGCCAUACACUUGUCACUAUGCAUUCGCCUGCCAUCGGGGAGAGCGAGAUGAAGCCAUCGAGAUGGUCGUGGAGUACCUCAAGGCUCUGGAGGAAUCCUUUGACAACCUCGUAGAUGAUCUUGUGGUUGCCCGCAUGGACUUAGUCCGGGGCGGUCCUGCCUGCAGGAAGGAGCUUCUCCACACGGCACCGCCUCUGACAUUCGUCUCGUCUUCAGCCUCUUAUGCACCGGCCAUUUUGGCCACUGCUCGCCGUCUGCCUGCCACUGAGGAGUUCGACCGAGUCAUCACUCCUACUCCAGUCAGAGCUGCACCGCCUGCCACACCCGUACUACCACUUGUCGCUCCCGCACCAUCACCGCAGCGCAGUGUUACGCGCCAGGAGCCAGCUAGAGAGGAGGUGGAGGUUGAAUCUCCUGCACCGCUGAGUCUUGCCCUCGGCAAGGGAAAGGACAUCGUCACCAUCUUCGACUGAGAGCGCCGAGUAGCCGCGCGUUAUGUCUGCUUGUAUGAUGUCUUUUAUCUGUACGCUAGUUUGUAUUAGUGUGUUCGCUGCUUUCCGGAAGAGUAUGCUAGUCUAAAUAACAUGUCAGGAUUGUGUACGCACAUCCUGAGUGCUGUAUCGUGUGUUUGCUUUUCGAGUGUAAGAUUUGGGUUAAGCCGUUCUUCUCCGUGCAAAAUCGUUUACGUUUUCUUGAAAAUCUUGAGGUCUUUUAAGUUUUUGCCUUUGCAAGAUUUUCUUUGUGCCACACAGUUCUUCUCAUGAGUUUUGCAAAAUAAUACCCCAGACUGGAAAAAUGUCUCGUCCGUGGACUCGUUCCAUGCCCAAUCAGCCAGAAGAAGUUUAUGGGACACAGACUAGCAACAACUUCACUCAGGGACAGUCCAGUCAACAAGACAGCGAAGCAGCCUUGUCUCAAGUAUGUCGUCUCUUAGAACAAAGCCAGCAAUAGCACCAAGAGAUGAUGAAUCACGUCAUCAAUAUGGGAAACCACCGUGAACCCUAUCAACCUCAUUCCAAGUUGUCUGAGUUACAGAAGACUCGCCCUUCAAAUUUUGCUCACACUGAUAGGCUGCUGGAAGCCGAUGACUGGCUUCGUGAUAUCGAGAGGAAGCUGAUUAUUGCCUAGUGUUCAGAUCAUGAGAAGGUGCUUUAUGCACCACACUACCUUACUGGAGCAGCUGCAGCAUGGUGGGAAAACUUCCUACACAUGCAUCCCAGUGAACACAACAUCACCUGGGAAGAAUUCAAGGAAAGCUUUCGUGGGGCACACAUCCCCAGGAGCAUCAUAAAAAUCAAGAAGAGAGAAUUUGACGAUCUCAAGCAAAGAGGCAUGUCAGUGACAGAAUACAACGGUCAGUUUACCCAGCUGUCUCGUUAUGCCUACGACGAACAUAUGACUGAGAACAAGAGGAUGGAGAAAUUCUUGGACGGCCUGGCACCGACGUUAAGAUGCCAACUAGUCGUGCACACUUUCCCGGAUUUUAAAACUCUGGUUGACAAGGCCAUUACCUUGGAGAAUGAGCGCCGCAGCCUGGAGGAUAUCCGUAAGCGAAAGAGGGACAAGACGACUCUUGCUUGCAACAACCGAAGCAAGACUGAGGUUCCAAGGACAGAAGCAAGGAAAUCCACGACUACUGAUCUAAGGCCCAUCCGACAGUUUCAUGCCAGGGACAAGGAGUUCACAUACCGUCCAGGGGUCACAAGCUAUGCUUGUGGAGAAGAAGGGCACUAUGCUAAACAGUGCCCAAAACCGAGGAACUCGGCCCCCAAGCCGAACAAUGGUGGAAACAAUCCAGCCCCCAAGUGCAACAAUUUCAAUCCCAACAACAACCACAGGAAGGGUCACCUGAACCAUGUGACUAGGGAAGAAGCUCAGAAUGCCCCAGACAUCGUGCUCGGUACGUUCCCUGUCAACACAGUACCUGCCACGGUUUUGUUUGAUUCUGGAGCUUCCCAUUCGUUUGUUUCGAAGAGUUUUGUUUUGCAACAUGGUUUUCCGAUACUUCCCUUGGAAAAAAUCUAUGAUCAUCAAGUCCCCCGGAAAUAAGCAAAUCGCUCAGAGUUACUGCCAAGGAGUAAUCAUUGAGUUCGAAGGACUAAAGUUCCAAGCAAAUCUCAUCGUGUUGGAAAAUAAAGGACUGGAUGUCAUUUUAGGGAUGGACUGGUUAACCACCAACAAAGGAUUCAUUGACUGUUUCAAUCGGACCGUGAUUCUCACUCACCAUCAUGGCAAGACAAUAAAGGUUAUAGCUCAAGAAAGGGCACGGUCAUGGCAACCAAAACUAAACAAAGUGGACAUUUCAGAACGGAGAAAAGUUCCAGUGGUAUGCGAGUUCCCUGACGUAUUUCCUGAAGAACUACCAGGCAUGCCACCAGACCGAGAAAUAGAAUUCAGCAUCGAACUAGCACCUGGCACCGCUCCCAUCUAUAAGAAACCUUAUAGGAUGGCACCCUCAGAAUUGGUGGAGUUGAAGAAGCAGAUAAAGGAAUUAUUGGACAAAGGCUUUAUUCGAGCCGGCUCCUCACCAUGGGGUUCGCCAGUUUUAUUCGCCUAGGAAAAAGGAUGGGACACUGAGACUGUGUAUAGACUAUCGAGCUCUCAAUAUGGUCACCAUCAAAAACAAAUAUCCGAUGCCACGGAUAAAUGAUUUGUUUGACCAGCUCGCACAAGCCAAGGUGUUCUCAAAAAUUGAUUUGAGAUCGGGAUAUCACCAUUUGAAAGUACGGACAGAAGAUAUCCCUAAGACAGCAUUCACCUCCGGAUACGGAUUAUAUGAAUUCACAGUGAUUCCUUUUGGUCUAACGAACGCCCCCGCAUAUUUCGUCCACCUCAUGAACAAAGUGUUCAUGAAAUUCAUGGACAAAUUUGUUGUGGUGCUCAUUGACGAUAUUCUGGUAUAUUCAAGGACACCAGAAGAGCACGCUGAGCAUCUCAGAAUUGUUUUGGGAGAAUUGAGGAAACAUCAGUUGUAUGCCAAAUUUAGCAAGUGUGAAUUUUGGCUAAGGCAAGUUGGUUUCCUUGGCCACAUAUUAAACCAAGAAGGCGUGGCCGUAGACCCAGAGAAGGUCAAAGCCAUACUUGACUGGAAGCCACCAGCCAACGUGACAGAUGUGCGGAGUUUCCUCGGGAUGGCCGGAUAUUACAGAAGAUUUAUUGAAGGAUUCUCCACUGUAGCAAAACAAUUGACCCAGUUGCUCAAGAAAGACAAGAAGUUUGUAUGGACGGAAGCAUGCGAGAGAAGCUUCCAAGAACUUAAGAAGAAGCUAACAACCGCACCAGUAUUAACCGUGCCAGACAUACACAAUAGUUUUGAAGUAUAUUGUGACGCGUCCCGAAAAGGCCUCGGAUGUGUACUAAUGCAAGAUGGCAAAGUUGUCGCGUAUGCCUCCAGGCAGCUGCGAAAACAUGAGGAAAAUUACCCAACACAUGACUUGGAACUAGCAGUAGUCAUACAUGCACUCAAGGAGUGGAGGCACUUCCUGUUGGGAAAUCGGUGUGAAAUAUAUACGGACCAUAAGAGCCUUAAAUAUAUUUUCACACAACCAGAGCUAAAUUUACGCCAACGACGCUGGUUGGAAUUGGUCAAGGACUAUGAUGUCGGUAUUCACUACCAUCCAGGGAAAGCAAAUGUAGUGGCCGAUGCCCUUAGUCGGAACCCCAGCCCAUACAAGGACAGUCCACAAAACAUGAGGCCUGAGUUUCAGCAAGAGUUCGCCAGGCUCAACAUGGUGUUAGUCUCUGAGGGCACCAUAUCAAAUCUGGGGAUACAACCCACCCUAGUGGAACAAAUUAAGAAGGCUCAGCAAGGACAUCCCAGCAUCGAAGGUAUAAGAAAGAAAAUGAACCUUGGUAAGGCUUCAGAGUUCGUCACAGACAGUGAAGGAAUAUUAUGGUACGGAGACAGACUUUGCGUACCUAACAUUGAGGAACUCAAGCAACAAAUCCUAACCGAAAGCCACACCGCUCCAUACUCGAUCCACCCUGGAGGAACCAAAAUGUACAAGGACAUUCAGGAAAGAUUUUAGUGGCACGGUAUGAAAAGAGAUAUAGCCACAUUUAUUGUUUGUUGCGAUUCAUGUCAGCGCAUCAAGGCCGAGCAUCAAAAGCCAGCAGGGCUACUCCAGCCAAACAGGAUACCGGAGUGGAAAUGGGAUGAAAUAGGAAUGGACUUCAUCGUCGGACUACCCCGAUCACAACGUGGAAAUGACGCCAUAUGGGUCAUCACAGACCGACUAACCAAGGUUGCUCAUUUCAUUCCCGUGAAGAUGACCUACUCCACACAAAGGCUAGCCAAGCUUUAUCUCUCUCGUAUAGUCUGUCUGCAUGGAGUCCCAAAAACUAUAAUAUUCGACCGAGGCACCCAAUUUGUCUUCAAAUUUUGGGAUCACCUGCAACAAGCUCUGGGCACGCAACUAGCAUUCAGUACAGCGUACCACCCUCAAACUGAUGGACAGACAGAACGCGUAAACCAAAUCCUAGAGGAUAUGCUGAGAGCCUGUGUGCUCACUUAUGGGUCCAGUUGGGAAGAGAGUUUGCCGUAUGCCGAGUUUGCUUACAACAACAGUUACCAAGCCAGCUUGCAAAUGGCACCCUUUGAAGCAUUGUAUGGACGGAGGUGUCGUACCCCACUGAAUUGGUCAGAAACAGGUGACAGCCGUAUCUUCGGCCCAGACAUGCUUAAAGAGGCCGAGGAGAAAGUUAAACAGAUCAGGGACAGACUCAAGACAGCACAAAGCCGACAAAAGAGCUACUACGAUCAAAAACAUCGUGAGGUCAGCUUUGAACCCGGUGAUUCUGUAUACCUACGAGUGUCUCCUAUGAGGGGCCUGCAACGGUUCAAAAUUAAGGGGAAGCUAGCCCCGAGAUUUAUUGGACCAUUCUGUAUAAUUGCACGAAGAGGCACGGUAGCCUACUAGCUAGAUCUACCCAAGGAGCUGUCAGACGUCCAUGACGAAUUCCACGUCUCGCAACUGAGAAAAUUUAUGAGUAACCCGGAGAAGCAUGUAUCCCAUGAGAGCAUCGAUGUACAACCAGACCUCACCUACAGAGAAAGGCCAGUAAAGAUAUUGGAAGUGUCUGAACGGAGGACCCGUCAGAAAACGACAAAAAUUUUCAGAGUUCAGUGGAGCAACCACACUGAGGAUGAAGCUACUUGGGAAAGAGAAGAUUUUCUUCAGGCAGAGUAUCCAUAUCAAUUUGAGGAUCAGCAGUAAUCUCGAGGACGAGAUUUUUCCUAAGGGGGUAGGUGUUGUGACACCCAAAAUUUUAUUUGGCCUUUUCAAAAAAUUUAUUUGACUUGAGGGAGGUGAUUUAAAUUUUUCCUUCAAAAGAACCCUCCCUUUCAAAAUAUUUUUAUGGCAAGAGUUUUAUUUGGUUUCACCCAAGACUUGAUUUUGGUCUUGGAGGUUCUUGCUUUUUAUUUUGGACUCAAGCCAAAUUGCCUUUCACUUGGGAAAAAUGUCUUUUGAAAAUUUCUUUGAAAAUGCUCCAUAGCUUUUAGAAUAAUCCUUUACCACUUUCAACAAAUCUCUCAUGCCAUGACCUUAGUGCAAAUCCACUCUCCUAAACCUUCCCUCAUCUUUGGAUCAUGAUUUGCAUCAAAUCUAGCAAGUUGAACCUCCCCAUAUAUUUAUUUUCCAUUUAAAUCUUAUCAAAACAAUUUCUGCCUUCUAUUCUAGCCCUUGGAGAUUUACAAAGGAGCUACCAUUUCUGUUUUGAUUUUUGCCCCCAAACCAAUUCCCCUUCCUAGUCCUUGAGCCCUCAACCAAGAUCCAUGAAGAUCCACUGGUCUUCAGUUCAAAUUUUUCAAACUAGACUUGCUGCAAGUUUGGACCAGAUUUGCCAAAUUUGAUGAAAUUCAUUUAAAUUCUUCUCCUAAAAAUCUGAGAAAAAUCAGGCAACCCCUGGGUGCAUUGAGAGGUCACCUCAACAAGUCCCAGCCCCAGGAAAAAAUUUCUCCUUGCCAAAUCAUUCUGUCGAACACCUGCAGAGCAUUGUCAAAAUCAGGUUCAGUCAAAUUCAGAGAAUAGUUGAGUGUUGCUGUCGUUUUCUUCAGUGUUCGAUCUCAAUCUCGCCAGUGCCCCGGUGUCGCCUUGCUCCCCGUCCCCUCCCCCUUGUUCCUGCGCCGCACGAUCCCCUGGAACCUUCCGGACGUCGGCGACGAGCAAGAGGAGGUGCGCCGCCCCGUGACCGACGGCAGCGGCGGCUUUGCGGCCGCCAGAGAGGGGCGCAGCGUAGACGGCGCCGCCCAAGCCACCGGAGGCCGCCGCGUGGCCACCCACUCCCCAGUGCACGCUGCCACCCUCGUCGUGAACCGCUGGGCACGGAGCGCGCUCUCUGCCGCCGUCGUGCCCGUGCGGCCACCCCACCGUGGACCGGCGGCAUUACGCCAAGACCGACCGGGAUUAGCGGGGGAACGGGACCAGUAACUCCCACUGAUGCUGCCUGGCCACCUAAACCCCCUGCCAAUCCACUGCCUCGCCGUAAUUGCUCGCCGGAGAUUCUCCGUUCACGGCCACCCCCUCGAUCCGCCUAUAAAUAGAGGCCCCGAGCUUCAACUCGAACCCACACCACCUCUGCACUCCACCUAGACCACACCAAGCCACUUGAAGACCCCCGAGGGAGCUUUCUUCCCCGACUCCGGCCGCCGCGACCCGCGACGGGAUCCAGCUCGAUUCGCUCCCGUGCGUGCACCUCUGCCUCCCAUCUCUUGCCAGUAGCUCUCUAGUGCAUCCCUCCUUCUGACCCGCGCUUCAAUUCGAAGUUUGCAGCACCGACCGGAGUUCUCCACCAUCACCCGAGCCGCCGUCCGCCGGAGAAAGUUUCGCCGUCGACGUGGUGAUCUCCGACACUCGAGUCCACUACCCACUGAGGCGGAAGGACACGCUGAAGCUCUUGGUACACUCCGAUCUCCCUGUCUCGCCGUGGUUCGAUGCCGGCGACCACCGCAGUCUUCGGGCGCCGGCGAACUUUUAAAACCUGACAUGUGGACCCCCCCUGUCAGCCUCUAUUCUCUUCUCCCUCGAAACGUUUUCUGUUGGCGCCUUCGGGCAAAUACGUUUUCUCUUUGAGCUGGCGCAUUUCUUUCCGAAGCGUUUUCUGUUUUCUCAGUUAAGCCCCUGGAACUUCUCUGUUUCAUUACAGAUAAGUCCCUGGACAGAAACCCUUAUAACUUUUUAAUAAAAAGUGAUUUUUGAGUGAUUCUUUUUCGGGCAAUCUUAUAAUUUUGUCUAGUUUUUUAUGCGAUUUAUUUGGAAAAAUUUUGGAACAACUUUUAUGCACGCGUUGGUUUUCACGUUAGUAUGCUUCUUCGCUAUACCGUAGGUUCCGGAAGAGGUGACGGAGCCGCGAACUUCGCCGAGCUAGACUCCGACUUCUCCGAACCAGGAAAGCAUGUUUGAACCUUUGAACGUUGCCGAGGGUGAUUCCUGGCUUCGGAAUGUUGAAUGGGUGUGUACUGGUUAGAUGUGUUUCUUCCAAAACACCGUAGACGGAACUAGUCCCCGUGACUACUGAAAUCCGCUGGCUGUGGUUGAAGUACAAACUCUGCAGAGUCAAAUCCUUCCGAGUCAUCAUAUCCAUGGUCAAGUAUCGUGAUCAGCGUAUCCAUGUCUAUGUCAUAACCUCGUAGUAUAUUCUUCGUUCCGGUCAGCAAGCUUGAGUAGUAGACUUGGCUGAACAUUAUUCCUGUGGAUGGACUAACCCCGUUGUUUACCUCAUGUCUGCUUGUUCUCUUGAUAUGAUUUAUAAUUCAUGAACUACUAAGUGUUGAAUAUAUGCCCUUUCUGUGAUGUCGCUCAGACGUCCGACUGUGGCAUGUUUGUCUAUUACUUUCAAUAUAAGCCCUUUACGUGAUGUCGCUCAGACGUCCGACUGUGGCACGCAAUGUCUUUAUUUUUCUGUCAUAAGCCCUUUAUGUGGUGUCGCCCCAACGCCCGACUGCGGCAUUAUUAUUCUUGCAGUUUCCUCUCGAGGAGUCAUUCAGACCCUCGUUUGGCACCGGUAUUAUUAUUCAUGCAGUUUCCUCUCGAGGAGUCAUUCAGACCCUCGUUUGGCACCCAGUAUUUAUUUUGGGAUUUCGGGAGGACUACCGCCCGACUUCUCUGUUAUUUCCCUAUGCAUUAUUAUCUCUAUGUCUGAACGCACUUGUUAAUCUAUUCAUAUGCUUCAUGUUUACAUUUGUUAUAUCUUAUGUCCGAACUGUCUUGCGAGUACUUUCAUAGUACUCACCUGGCUUGUUGAUUUGGCCAGAUGUUGACGAAGGCGAUCUCAUGGAUGAAGAGUUUGAUAGUGCGUCCGACGCCUAGAGGAGUCCCAGUCAGUCCCGUGCGAUCCUGGAUAUUGGUCACUUGUAUUAUAUACGCUUCCGCCACCCGCAAUAAGUCUCCUCGAGCCUCACUCCGACGCUCGAAGAGCUGUAGUUUUCAGGAGUCAUAUCACCCACUUCGCAGUUAUAUUUCCACCACCGUUGUUAUCGUGAGUUAGUAGUCUUGCCACCCUAUCCGCCGUUAUGUUUUAUCGGCGUUCAUGUAAUAAAUUGUUGAGCAGUCUCCGCUCAACCUUGUAUUAUAUUCAGCACUCCUGGUAUUUUUCUUCUGUGACCAAGAUAUUGUCUACCAGUGAGAAGGAAUUCUUCUUUACUGGACCGUAAACGGGAUUGGUCUCUCAAUAAAUAUUUUAUUGAAAAACCGGUCGUGACACCAGCUCCAAGCGCCCGGCCACCAGGCGAGGGUCAGCGCCCUGGAGAUCUUCUCAUAGCCGAUUCAGUUUGCCAACAGCACGGUCCAAGGCGGCGGAGGAAGCAGAGGAGUCGGAGACCAGAGGAGCAGGAGGAGAAGAUGGCAGCGUGAUCACGGCAUGGGAGGCCGGGGGCUCCUGAGCCCUGGCAACCUUAGCAGCAGCAUCAAGCGCGGGCGCCUCAAGAGUCAGCGGGGCCACGGGGGCUGGCACCCCGCCAGAGCGCCCCUCCUGGCCUCGCAAGGAUGAUCGGGCAAGGGGAGGUGCAAGCUCCACCGCCUCCCCUUCCCGCUAGCGAAGGCGCGGCCACAGCGCUCGAGCUUGCCCCGGGCAGGGCCGGCGUGUCCCCCUUCAGCCUUUUCGCCGCAGACAGUGGAAGAUAUCAAGCCCCGACAGCAAAAGUGAGAGCAAAGCAGAAUCCGUAGUACUUACUGGCUAGUCGUGGCGAGCUCCAGCGGCCUCCUGCCGAGCUUAAAGCCCAAGAGCCUCUUGCGGGCGCAGCUUCGGGAGGUCCGGCAGCAGAACAGGGCGCACCGGAGGGGCCAGAGCUAGCUUCGGGUGGUGCCGGGGAGAUCAGCCCUGACCUGUCCUUCUUCGGAAUCAUGGGCGGUCCCCUCUCCCUCGCUUGGCGUCUGCCUCGUCGUCGUCCGUCAGGUUGCGAAGGAUGUCAACCCUGCGCCAGGGGGAAGUCUCCCCAGUCCGCUUGGUGGACCCCUCCAAGCCGCGCUUCUCCCCAUCAUCGUCAUCCUCCCCUCCGUGAAAAUCAUCGGAGGACAACUCCACCGUUGCCGCCGCCGCCUGGUCCUCAGGAGGCACCGCCGGCACCAGACCGACCUCGUCAAAGGUGGGCAUGGCGUCUACCACCCGCUCCCGGUCGUCGCGAAGGAUAAAAGGGGCCGAAGCGCCGUCCAAGCUCGCCACGUCCUCUCCGACCAGGAAGCGGAGAGCUGCGAUCAGAUCUUCAUCUUCCAGGGCCCCCGAGUUCAGGCGGAGAUCGGCGUCCGCCUCCUCGAGCCUCCACAACGGGCGCGAGUGCGCCUGAAGAGGGGCCACCCGAUGCGCCAGGAACUCCCUCAGGAGCGUGGCCCCGGUCAGCUUCGCCGCCUUCAUGUUGCUAGGCCUCAGGUCAGACUUCAUCUUCUCCAGCACUAGCUUCGCCCGCUGGUCGUCAAGCUUCGCGCGGGACCAUGACUCGUCGGCCUGAGGCUGCCCCAUGGGCAGCGCCAGCCGAGAGUUGAUGCAUCUGGCAUCCAGCAUGACCCACUUGCUCCGGAAGCCGUCAGCCCUCUUCCCGGCCUUUGAGAUUGCGUUGGCCUUGGAGUACGCAAUAAAGCUAGCGCACGCAGAGGUAUGCCCGCCGGUGACUCGGAGGAAGAAGAAGUGGCGCAGUAGUGCCAUGGAAGGCAUCACCCCGACGUGAGCCUCGCAGUAGUAGGCGAAGAUCGACAGCGGAAGAACAGAGUUGGGAUGGAGAUGCAGAGCCAACAGCUUGUAUUGGCGGAGGACGGCAUAAAAGAACUCGGAGAAAGGAGGCACCAGACCGGCUAUGACGGCGCUCAUGAAGAAGGGGUAGAAGAUGCUCCCCUUGUCCUCCGGCUGAGCAGAGCCGGGCCGAAGCGCGGUCUCCCCCAUCUCGCUGCCUUUCGCCGCUGUCAUCAGGCGCGUAAGGGCGAGGUUCUUCUCCGUCAUGUUUGGGGGAUCUAGAGCUGGCGAAUACUAGGCCGGUGGAGCCGCGGCCGCGGUCUUGCGGGGCGCCAUCGCUCGCUGAAGGAGAAAGGAUGAAGCGGAUCUGGAGAUUUUUGAAACAGGAGGGCAAGAGCAAGAAAGGGGAUCUGGAGUAAGGCCAAUGUGAGCAAUGGAGGCAAGCUUGGACCGAGCCAGCCUUUUUGUCAGAUGGGCAGUUGCCGAGGCAGCGUGAGGAGGUGGAGACGCCCACGUCCAAUCAACCGCCACGCGGCGACCAAGGCUGCAGGCUGUUGGGGCCCGCGGCACUCCGCACUUACCCUUUCGCUUCGCUGCUGAGCCAAGCCCGAGCGCGCCUUGGGCCCGGGGGCUACUGUCGGCAUUCUGGGAACGGGGGUCCCCGGACUUGCUUGCCUCCGGCCUGCAGCGUGGCUCAAGGGGUGUCCCAGUACGGCCCUUCUUCAUCAACUCAAGCUUAAGACCCUCGCGGGGCGGACGAUGCAAGGCUUCCUCAGGAACGGCCUCACGAGGCUGGCUCGCGAGGAGGCGGAGAGAUCAAGGCAAGGGUACCUCACGAGGUGCUCGUGAUGCAAGCCAUGACGAUCAAGGCCAGGCGGGCGCCGUCCUGCGCAGUGUCCUUGUUUCCUCUUUGGUGCAAAGGGGGCAAGCAUAGGCGCGGAGUACCGAGGCAUCAAGCAAAGCUUACCAUUCCGGUGCAACGAGACCAAGACCAGCAGGGCAGCAGGACAGAGGUCACCGUGGAGCCCAAGACGACGUCAUCACCGGUGCUUUUGGCAGCCGAAGACCACCUUUAGUCAGGAUAACUUGUACUAGAUGUUCCCCUUCAAAAUGGUCGUUGUUGGCGCCCUUCCCGCUCGAUAUUUGGGAAGAGGACCAGGGCAUCUAUAAAUAGGGCUAGCCACCACAGUAGGAGGCAACGAAGCCUCAGGCAUCUCAUCCAGACCUGAUCGGAUCCUUCCCAAGCAGAACACCACACCAGCUCAAGAACACCUCUCGCGAGGCUGUUCUUCCUCUAUACUGUUCAUCAUUAGCCCCUGAGGCAAUCCACCACACCACACGGUGGAUUAGAGUAUUACACCACAACGGUGGCCCAGACCAGUAUAAACCUCGUGUCUCUUGUGGUCUUGAUCGUGUAGCUUAGAUCCUCAGCGAGGUGUUCGGGCGUGGAUCGGUAGGGGGAAGAUCUCCGUGCGCACCCCAAAGUUCGAACCUUAAUUGUUUUGCCAGAACCUCAUAUCCGACAGAAAGUUUGGCCAAUAUCAGCAACAAAGUUUGCCCAAAAUCUAGUCACCCCCAAGAAGUCCAGUUCAUGUUGUACCAAGAGUGCUUAAAGCAGUAGGGCAAACAAAAAAUAUAUAACAAUGAGGUCCAUUGAUUUCUGCUUUAAAAGGUUAUGCUUGAAGAACUAAGCUCCAGGCCCACUACUACAAGUUUCUGUUUCAAGUUUGGCACUUGCUGUCCGACACAAGUAGGGCCAUGAACAAGUUUCUAUUUCAAAAAACUUCGUGUACCCAUCAUUUUCAGUAUGCAUGUACUGUACUAGAAAAUGUGAAGCACCAAUCACUUUAAGAACAGUAGCCGGGACACCCUCGAACAGAGGGAAUCAUUAUGGACAGAAGCACAAGCCUAUAGUGCUACUUCAGCAAUAAGAUCACUUUGCAACUACGAAUCCUACAGCGCAUCACAUGAACUACCAGAUAGGGCUACAAGCUACUUUGCAGAGAUCGCCAUAAUCACCCAUGUCGCCCUUGCUCUAGUAUCACAAAGUAAACUAUACCAGGUAGCGGCAAGCAGAUCUGAGAUGGGUGGUUACCUUCAUGCUGGAAGGACUGGCGCUGGCCAGGCAGGGUGCGCUGGGCGACGGUGCGGGCGACGAUGACGAUGA
RNAcentral lists this long non-coding RNA (26200 nucleotides) under Triticum aestivum (bread wheat). RNAcentral describes it as "long non-coding RNA (TAES_LNC013442)". Lineage: Eukaryota; Viridiplantae; Streptophyta; Magnoliopsida; Poales; Poaceae. The record is from RNAcentral.